AUGAUCUGCUUGGCUCUCUGCCUUUAUGGCCCUCUACUGGAGUCACUUAACCCCCCCCCCCCCCACUUGCAGAUUCAGCCCUGCUCCCAACCCUGUCUUCAGGCAGAGGGAAGGCACAACUACUGUUUCUCCUGCUUGUUUUUAGUGGUCUCUAGCCCAUCCCUGCAAGGAUCCCUGUUAGUCUCUGGUAAAGAUGGGCAUUUACAGCUGCUUAGAAACUGAGGAACAGGACAGAGAGAAAAGAAAUUUUUAAAUGAGAACGUGGGAAUAGUUCAGGACUACAGAACUGAAAGUCUGUUUUUUUUUUGAAUAAUUAAUUAAGAAAAGACAAAGACUCUAACAAUCAUGGUCCAGGAAGAGCUGACCUAUAGAAAAAUAAAAAUAGGAAAAGUCAGAAAAAAAUUGAUUGUCUCUAAGCUGAGGCAAACCUGAGCGAGCUUUAUUAGACUGUGUAUUAGUUAUCUAUUGCUGGAUAGCAAAUUACCUCAAAAGUUAGUGGCUUUAUUUUUUAAAUUUAUUUUUAUUUAUUUAUGAUAGAGAGAGAGAGAGAGGCAGAGACACAAGCAGAGGGAGAAGCAGGCUCCAUGCCGGGAGCCCGAUGCGGGACUCGAUCCUGGGACUCCAGGAUUGCACCCUGGGCCAAAGGCAGACGCGAAACCACUGAGCCACCCAGGAAUCCCCAAGUUAGUGGCUUUAAACAGCAAUAAAUAAUUAUUACCUCAUACAGUUUCUGUGAGUCAGGAAUUCAGAAGCUGCUGAGUUGGUGCUUCUGGUCCAAGGUCUCUCAUGAGGUCACAGUGAAGGUGUUGGCUGGGGCUGAGGUCAUCUGAAGGCUUUAUUAGGACUGGAGAGUAAUCUGUCACACAUUUGUGUGUGUGUUACCCUACAUGGGAGUCUUCACAAAGCUACUCGUGUCCUUAGGGCAUGCAGCUGCCUAUUCCUCAAGCAAGUAUCCGGAGAGAGGACAAAGUGGAAGCUAAAAUAUCUUUUUUAACUGAGGCUUGGAAAUCUAACUCCCAUUAUUUCUGUAAUACCCUAUUGGUUACACGGAUCAGCUCUAUUCAAAGCACGGCCUCCGAAAUGGUGAAUAGCAGGUGGCAAGAAUAAUCAGGGGACUCUCUUAAGAGACUUUCUUGGAGGCUGGGUUGGAGGCUAGUUAUUGCAAAUUAUGUUCUAUAAUUGCCUAAUGUGAUGUAGUCUCUUAGAUUUAUCAGACAGGUGGGUUCAACAGCGAGUGACAGAAGUAGUCAUGUACAGUUCUGAGCAUAUCACAUCUUUCUCAUGGCUGGUAAUCCUUUAAAAGGAAAACAUUGCUUCCUAAUAGUUCUAGCCAGGCUUUCAAAGAUGAAGCUCAAACAAAAACAAAAACAAAAACAAAAACAAAACAAAACAAAAAAACAAAAACAAAGAUGAAGCUCAUUGGCCUGGCUUGGGUCCAAUAAACAACUAUGAACCAAAUUGUUGUGAUGGGGUGGGGGCGGAAGGGGUCUACACAGGAAUAAUUCCAUCUGUACUGCAUGGACUGAGCAUGAGGGGUCCACCAGCAGUGUGGCUGGUUCUGGUUCUGGCCUGGUUCCCCCAAAAAGAAGAGAUGCAGGGCAAACAAUAGAAAAGAUGGCAGAUGCCCUCUAUAACCCCAGUAUUGUGGGGGUUUUUUGCUUUGUUUUGUUUUAUUUUUAAAGAUUUUAUUUAUUUACACCUGAGAGACACAGAGAGAGAGGCAGAAACAUAGGCAGAGGGAGAAGUAGGCUCCCCGCAGGGAGUUCAAUGUGAGACUCUAUCCCUGGACCAGGUAUUAUGCCCUGAGCCGAAGGCAGACACUCAACAGCUGAGCUACCCAGGCAUCCCUAACCCCAGUGUUAAAAAAGACUCACACUGUCCAUAUCUAAGGUCUUCUUUGGCUAGUAUAACAUCGCAUAUGUAUUUCCUUGUCUUUUUUCAUGAGCAUAUUUUUACCAUCUAAGUAUAUUGCAAAUAUGGAUAUAUCAUCUGACAAAAGAUACACAAGACCUGUACCCCAAAAACUAUGAAACAUGGUUGAAUUAAAGAAAACCGUAAACAAUGCAGAUAUACUUUGUUCAUAAAUUGGAAAUCAGAAUAUUGUUAAGAUGACAGUUAUUCCCAAAUUGGUCUAUUAAGUUAACGCAAUCCAAAUCAAAAUCCCAGAUAUAUCCUUUUUUGGUUCAAAUUGUUAAGGGGAUUAUAAAAUUUAUUUGGAAAUUCAGAGGACCUAGAAUUGCCAAAAACAACAAUAAAAAUGAACAAAGUAGAGAACUUACAUUAUCUAAAUUCAUAUAGCUACAGUAAUCAAGACAGUGUCUUAUUAACAUGAAGAUAGACAGAUUAAUGGGAGAAAACAUUCCAGAAAGAGGCCUGGGUACAUAUAUAUAUAUGACUUUCUUUCUCUCUCUCUCUCUGUGUAUAUAUAUAUAUACACACACACAUACAUUACACAUAUACAUAUAUAUAGUCAGAUGACUUUCAACAAAAGUACAAAGGUAAUUCCAUGGAUAAGGACUGUCUUGUCAAUAAAUGGUGCUGUAACAGUUGGCCAUCCACAUGUUAAAAAGUGAAAUUCAAUCCAUAUCUUACACAAUAUACAAAAAUAAACUCAAAAUGGAUCACAGACCUAAAUGUACAUCCUAAAACUAUAAACCUUCCAGGAGAAAAUCUUUGAAACUUUGGGUUGAUCAAAGCAGCAAAAGCAUAAUAUAUUUUUUAAAUGAUGUUAGACUUCAUCGAAUUAAGAUCUUUUAUUCUUCAAAAGACAGUAUUAGGAGACUGAGAAGACCUUCCAUAAAAUGGGCCAAAGCAUUCAUAAAUUACAUAUCUGAUAAAGGAUUUGUAUCCAGAAUAUGAAAAAAAACAACUCUCAAAACUCAAUAAUAAACCAUUUUUCAAAAGUCACCAAAAGAGUUGAACAGACUAACGAAAAUAUUUAGAUGGCAAAUAAGCCCAUGAAAAGAUGCUUAACAUGCAGAUUAAUGCAAAUUAAAAUCACAAUGAGAUACUAGUACAC
This 3019-nucleotide long non-coding RNA is filed under the name Canis lupus familiaris (dog). RNAcentral describes it as "lncRNA (ENSCAFG00030007377.1)". Lineage: Eukaryota; Metazoa; Chordata; Mammalia; Carnivora; Canidae. The record is from RNAcentral.